This 3864-nucleotide long non-coding RNA is filed under the name Podarcis lilfordi (Lilford's wall lizard). The record is from RNAcentral. Lineage: Eukaryota; Metazoa; Chordata; Lepidosauria; Squamata; Lacertidae.
AACUGACCAGUCAGCAUUCAUUGAGAAAUGCUUUUUCCUUAUUCAUGGCAAGCGAGCUCUCAGGUCUCAGAAGAAACUUGUAAGCUACUCGUGAGCAGGAAUAAAAGAAAAGAUUAGCCAAACAGCUAUUUCAUUUUUAAUAGUUAUCAACUCACAGCUAGCAUGUUGGAUCAGAAUCAGAGUUCAGUAGGUCAGUAUCUUCACUGAGAAAAUAAUGUGCCAAAAGCUGUUUCUCAAAAGUUUUCUUCUGAAAAAGAGGCUUCUCUUUACCUGCCUCAUUGCUCAGGGAGCUUUAGAAUUUCUUUAUAAUUUCAGUGAGUGUGGUGUUUCCUGAUCUUAAGUCUCAGGGGAGGAAUGUCUCCCCCUGGGCUUUAACUGAACACUGGGGAGGCUGACCAAUGGGCGCACUCACUGGUUUUGUUGUUUUAAGAAAGUGCUCCCUUUUACCUAAAAAAAAAAAUUUAAAUCCACACUGAUUUCUUUAUAAGUAAAAAGAUUACUAUUUUCACAAAUGAACAUCUGCCAGGAGCAGGGUAGGCAGCCUCCCUGGGUUACCCUGCUUAGAAAGAGUCCAGCAAUGACAUCAUGGGGUUUUCAGGGCAGGCGCUUGGGAAGACUGAAGAAGGCAAAUCACUGGAGAGAUGACUUGUAGAAUGAAAAAAAGGACACUCACAAGAACCUCGGCUCAUCUCAGAAGUAAGUGCAACAAAAAUCUUGCAUCUCACCCAUGAGAAUUUUACUUAAUUUUUCUUUCCCCUUUGAAAAUUUUGGAAUGCAAUUUCUUUUCUCAUUAAUGGAUGCAGAAUAUUCAUGAAAAAAUGCAGAAGGCAUUUUCCAGCAGAACGCUAGUCUGAGACUUUGGCCAGCCAGACGGCUCAAGGAAAUUCAUAAAGCAAGACAAGCCGGCAAUAUGUGGAGCCGACUAUUUCUUCCCAACAUCUGGUGGUCAGCAUGUUAUAUUCUCUGCGACUACAGAAUUGCAUUUUUGGAUAUCAUACAUAGCUAGAAAUCACCACUGAAAAUUGUCUCGGUUUAUUUAUUUUCAAAGCCAAAGGAUGAAUUUAACAUUGCACUAUUAUGGAACAAAGGAACCAACUCCCAUCUCCCCCCUUGGUGUGCCGAUCUGGGAUUCUCCUGACCCCCCUGGGCAAGCUUGGUGGGGUCUGGGCGAAGGAGCGGGGAAAGCCUUGUUGUGCUCCUGCUGGUGCAACUGGCCCCAAGUAUGCAAGUGGCAGCCAUAAAGUGUAUAUUAUACAAGAUGUAUAAUAUUUCAGUUUUACAGAGUGAAAGAUCAGUCUAACAGUUAAUGAAUUGCCCUCUGGCCCUCAAUUGAUUUAUGACCGGGUAGGGAUUUUAAUCCAGGUCUCCCAGAUAAAAGUCAAAUACUAUACCCACUGGAGCACUCAGCAGGAUAUAUUUCCUAAAGUGUCCAUCCUUGACACUUUAAACUCAACUCUACUAACAUUUUCUGCUUUGUAGAUUAAUAACGGUUUCUGUAUCACUCUUUGCACAAGCCACAUGGCAGUUUAGAACAAAAUUAAGUAAGAUAAAAAUAAUCAGUAAGGUCCAUAGAAUGACACAACCUCUAAAAAUAACAGCACAACUACUGGCUUGCAACAAGAUGGCAGACUGAAGCCAAAGUUAUUAAAAACAACAAAUCACUUACCCUGUAGUAAUCUGUGCUAUACACGUCUCUUGACAUUCCAAAAUCUCCUAUCUUCACCAGUAAGUUUUCACCAACCAGGCAAUUCCGAGUGGCAAGGUCACGAUGCACAAAAUGCUGUGAUGCCAAGUAAACCAUGCCAGCUGCAAUCUGCUGGGCAAUAUGUAACAUCUGUGACUGGGUUAGCUCAGUUAGAUGACUCCCUUCAGCCAUCAGAGCUGCAUCAGGUCCAUGUGCCCUGUAUGGAACACAGGAGAGUGUAAGCAGAUCCAUUUAUUCAUUUCCUUUAAGUUUAAAACAUGCACACACAAUGGAAGAACCAUAUGGGAGAUGAAGAUCCAUGUGCCCCAAUCUCUUUAAUGACCAUCUGUUUUGAAGAGCAGGCAAAGUGCUUAUUGAGUUUAUAUCUCCUAUAACAACAGUCCUUUUCCAGGUUAAGAAUCUCAGUUGUAUGAUUCAUGAAAACAUCAAGGCCUGGAUUAACAGACCUCGGGCUCAUCCACACUUAGCUUUGCUCUGCAUGUCUAGGCUCAGGUCCUGGCUUUCCAGGUUCCUGUCCAAGCCCCGCUGGGACUUUCCCUGCAAAAACCUGCUCUUUACCGCUAAACUGGAGCAAACAGCAAUCUGUGGAACGCCUGAAUUGCUGUUUGCUCUGAUUCAGCAGUAAAGAGCAGGUUUUCCUGGGGCAAGAGGCAGGGCAUGGCUGGGAAAGUGUGAACACAUGCGUAGAAAGUGAGAGGCAAAGGGUGCGUGUGGAUGAGCCCUUGUCUCUACAAAUGAAAAGGGACUUGCUGGUCUCUGCCAAGACUUAGCAGAACACAUAGAAACCCUACAUAUUCUGCCUUGGACUCCAUGGAGGAAAGCCAAUUAUAAUAUGAAACUAUUGUACUCAAUGCUCAGUAGUACCCUCCGAAGCCAUUUAAGCUCUGGAAAUGGACUCUUAAUAACCAAAGAAAAAUAAAGAAGGGUGUUGCUCAAGUUAUUAACAGACAAAACAUUAAUAUACGUGAACUGUCUUGUUUUGCUCAUUACACAUCCCUCUGCCAGCUAUAGGACAGCGGGCAUAGAUUACAGCUUACAUUCCAAUACAAAGAAAGCAAAUUGGUGGGGUGCAUUCUUUCAUUAGUCCCAGAGAGAGACUUUGAAACACAAGCAGUCUUUCAGGUAAAAUAAUCCUCACUACAAACUGUGGAACAAGCUCUGUGAGAACAUCAGUAGCAGAAUGGUUUUACACCAGUGACAACACAAAUGCCACUAGGCGAGUGUUCCUGCUGGCUCUGAGCUAUCGUCUUGCAGAAUAGCUAUUGCACUGGUGACUGGGAGGGAUGGGCUGGAUAAUUUUGCUCCUCUUCUGUCCCACUGAUUCAUAAGACCCAAGACAAAGGUUACAAAGAAAGAUUGGGAUGGAAUGUAUCAGGAACUUGCCCUACACUCGAGUAGGACCCUGGCAGAGACACAUGCCUGACUGGCAUGUUCUCUCCCUCCUGGUCGAUUGUUCGGGAGCUUCAAAAGCUUUCUUCAGCCCGAACCUCACAGCGACCGAUGCCAACAGACACCGGCACACUUAGGGAUCCGCAGAGUCUUUGCAGCUUGCGUAACAGACCUCAGCAACUCAGCAUUUUGGCUAAUCUACUUUAUUUACAUAUAAACACACACGGAGCACUGCAACAUGGCUCCCUCUCUCUCUAGCACCAGACAGCAAAGAGAAAGAACAAAGGACAAUAGUCCCACUUCACGGAACACAGUAACACAAACAUCCUGUCUCCAUCACUUCCUACUCUGUGGAGUCAAAACAUACACAGUCAUGUGAUAGACGAAAAAAUUCCAUGACUGCAAUCAUGGAGCAGGAAUUCUAACAGAAUGUACCCAUCCUAGUACCUUCUCACUUCGGACUUGUGCAAUCUGACAUGAAGGCAAAUCUCAGAACUUCAGCCCUUAGAACACAGAAUACAUAUCUGAGGAUACAUCUCUGGGGGGAGAGUUUAACAAUCUGUCAUAAAUGCUCAAAACAGAGAGCAAAAAAUACAGAUGCAGUCACUGGAAUGAAGUCUUCCAAUUAUGCGAAUUCGCAAGCAUUCACUUCUGUUUUUUGUGUCUGUAGAACGACAUGGGCUUUUAAACAAACACAUGAAUAAACAAAUAAGGAACUGGAGUAGAAGAGGAUAAAAAAGAGUGGAAAACAAAAAGAAAGAUGAUAAAGG